GACGAACGCUGGCGGCGUGCUUAACACAUGCAAGUCGAACGGAAAGGCCCUGCUUUUGUGGGGUGCUCGAGUGGCGAACGGGUGAGUAACACGUGAGUAACCUGCCCUUGACUUUGGGAUAACUUCAGGAAACUGGGGCUAAUACCGGAUAGGAGCUCCUGCUGCAUGGUGGGGGUUGGAAAGUUUCGGCGGUUGGGGAUGGACUCGCGGCUUAUCAGCUUGUUGGUGGGGUAGUGGCUUACCAAGGCUUUGACGGGUAGCCGGCCUGGGAGGGUGACCGGCCACAUUGGGACUGAGAUACGGCCCAGACUCCUACGGGAGGCAGAAGUGGGGAAUAUGGCACAAUGGGCGGAAGCCUGAUGCAGCAGCGCCGCGUGCGGGAUGACGGCCUUCGGGUUGUAAACCGCUUUCGCCUGUGACGAAGCGUGAGUGACGGUAAUGGGUAAAGAAGCACCGGCUAACUACGUG
This 468-nucleotide ribosomal RNA is filed under the name uncultured bacterium. RNAcentral's name for it is "partial 16S ribosomal RNA". It matches the Rfam family "Bacterial small subunit ribosomal RNA", at positions 28 to 507 of the family's 1533-position model. The record is from RNAcentral.